Setaria italica (foxtail millet) is the source of this 506-nucleotide long non-coding RNA. RefSeq lists it as uncharacterized. Lineage: Eukaryota; Viridiplantae; Streptophyta; Magnoliopsida; Poales; Poaceae. The record is from RefSeq and is a predicted model, not a curated record. The transcript is spliced from 2 exons.
CCAAAUCGCCCUGACCUCUUCGUUGAGCAGCUGCCUCCAUCCACAUCGCCAUGGCAGCACCGUCAAGCUCUUCUUCCUCAGCGAAUAGGCAUCAGGUGAAUCCUGAGAUCCCUCUCAUAACCUCCACAGAUUCCAGCUGCUUCAAGGUCUUGGAGCUGGUGGUGCAGAGCAAUGAGAAUGGGAACAAGAGGCGGGUGUUCUACAGGUGCCCUGGUGGUGGGAAGCAUGGCCGUGGUUGCCAAUUCUACAGGUGGCCAUGGAACAAAAGAAGCAGUGACAAGAAGAGAACAAGAACAGGGAAGAAGUGAGGAUCAGUAAUCUGAUUGGAACUGAAGAUGAACAUAUUAAUAGACAUUGUGAAAGAAGUAGUUCUGCUUUUGAAGUGUAUUGCCCUUGUUUGUGUGUGUGGAGUGAUGUGGAAUGUGUAUGCUAGUACGAGGAUGUGAAAUAUGUAUCAUGUAUGUGUGUUUCUCUUAAAUGGAUCAAUGAAAAUAAGGCACUUUGCA